CCAUCCCCCAUGAUAGCAAGUAUAGAAACAAUGCUUAAGGCUUGUGGCAUCACUGAACCCAGCAUUCACUACGAGAGAUGGUGGUAGAUGCUCUGGGAUUGUAUAUUGGAGGAGUAUCAUGGCAUUAUGGAAUUCCUAUGACACAGCAUAAUUUUGAAGUACAAUGGGAAACGGCGUAGUGUACCAACUUAUUAUUUUAAUAAAUUGAACCUUGAUA
Molecule: long non-coding RNA, 217 nt
Organism: Haliotis rufescens (red abalone)
Lineage: Eukaryota; Metazoa; Mollusca; Gastropoda; Lepetellida; Haliotidae
Exons: 2
Source: RefSeq, a predicted model, not a curated record